GAUGAACGCUAGCUACAGGCUUAACACAUGCAAGUCGAGGGGAAACGAUAGGGAAAGCUUGCUUUUUCUAGGCGUCGACCGGCGCACGGGUGAGUAACGCGUAUCCAACCUGCCCAUCACUUGGGGAUAACCUUGCGAAAGUAAGACUAAUACCCAAUGAAGUCUCUAGAAGACAUCUGAAGGAGAUUAAGGAGUUAUCGGUGAUGGAUGGGGAUGCGUCUGAUUAGCUUGUUGGCGGGGUAACGGCCCACCAAGGCGACGAUCAGUAGGGGUUCUGAGAGGAAGGUCCCCCACAUUGGAACUGAGACACGCUCCAAACUCCUACGGGAGGCAGCAGUGAGUAAUAUUGGUCAAUGGACGAGAGUCUGAACCAUCCAAGUAGCGUGCAGGAAGACGGCCCUAUGGGUUGUAAACUGCUUUUAUAAGGGAAUAAAGUGAGUCUCGUGAGACUGUUUGCAUGUACCUUAUGAAUAAGGACCGGCUAAUUCCGUGCCAGCCGCCGCCGUAA
Molecule: ribosomal RNA, 508 nt
Filed under: uncultured bacterium
Lineage: Bacteria
Description: partial 16S ribosomal RNA
Rfam family: Bacterial small subunit ribosomal RNA
Source: RNAcentral